Molecule: ribosomal RNA, 1282 nt
Filed under: Spiniphilus spinicornis
Lineage: Eukaryota; Metazoa; Arthropoda; Insecta; Coleoptera; Vesperidae
Description: large subunit ribosomal RNA
Rfam family: Bacterial large subunit ribosomal RNA (bases 828-1220)
Source: RNAcentral
UUGAUAUUGGAAUGCUUAUUUAAUUUAUUUAUUUAUUGUUUUAUUAUGAGUAUAUUUUAGUAUUAGUAGUUUGUCUGGAUUUAUAGGUUGUUAAUAAUGGGAGUUUUGUACUGAGUAGGACUGCUUUAAAGUAUUAAAAAGAAUAGGUAAGUUUAGUACCUUGUGUAUCAGGGUUUAUUAAAAUAGAGGGUUAGCCUAUUUUCCCGAAUUCAAUAGAUUUAGGGGAUUGUUUUUUUAUUGUUGCAUAAAUAUUGAGAAUUUUCUUCUUGAAAUGAAAUGUUUACGUUUUUGAAUAUAUCUGGUUUUUUGAGAAAGAAAUUUAAUUUUGCUAUUGUUAAUAAAAUUUUAAUUGGUUAAUUUUUUAUUAGUAAUAGGUAAUAUCUAAGGGGAUGAGCUUUUAGUUAAAUUUUUAUAAUCUUUUUUUUUAAUUAAAAUUUAUAGAAUUGAAAGUUUUAAUUUGUAGGUUAAUGUUAUAAUUGAUUUAGGGUGAAUUUUAAUUUAUAUUUGAAUUUAAAUUUUUUAUUGAAAUAUAAUAAUUAAUUUUUUAAUAUUAGAGAUAAUGAUAGAAUUAGUAUAUUUUAAUGUAAUUUUAGGUUGAUUAGGAUAGGUUUUUUAAAGGAAUUCGGCAAAUGGAUUUUUCACCUGUUUAUUAAAAACAUGGCCUCUUGAGUAUAAUUUUAGGUCUAGCCUGCCCACUGAGUGUUAAAUGGCUGCGGUAUUCUGACCGUGCUAAGGUAGCAUAAUCAUUAGUUUUUUAAUUGGAAGCUGGAAUGAAUGGUUGGAUGAGGGAAUCACUGUCUCUAGCAAAUUUUAUUAGAAAUUUAUUAUUAAGUAAGAAGGCUUAAAUUUAAUUGAAAGACGAGAAGACCCUAUAGAGUUUUAUGGAUACGUUUUGUUGGAGUUUUUGUUAUUUAAAUUUUUUAUGAACUUAUUUAUUUGAUUGGGGCGAUCGGGAAAUUUAAUAAACUUUUCUUUGUUUUAUUCAUUUAUUUAUGAAAUGUUGAUCCUUUAUGGUGAGAUAAUAAGAUUAAGUUACCUUAGGGAUAACAGCGUUAUUUUUCUUGAGAGUUCUAAUCGAAAGAGAAGUUUGCGACCUCGAUGUUGGAUUAAAGUUAACUGUUGGCGAAGAAGCUGAAUAGUUAGGUCUGUUCGACCUUUAAAAUUUUACAUGAUCUGAGUUUAAACCGGCGUGAGCCAGGUUGGUUUCUAUCUUUAAUUUAAUAUAGUUUCUUAGUACGAAAGGACCGGAUGCUAGUCUAAUAGGCGUUUCUUGAAUAAUAUU